RNAcentral lists this long non-coding RNA (307 nucleotides) under Marmota monax (woodchuck). Lineage: Eukaryota; Metazoa; Chordata; Mammalia; Rodentia; Sciuridae. The record is from RNAcentral.
UUGUCAUUAUAAACAGCCACAGUUCAGCCUCAGCUAUCCCCCUUCGUCCACCAUCGUCACGAUACAGGAUGCGAGGCAAGGCACUGCACUUGAGUGAUCCUUGAUGUGGACCUCAAGGAGAGCAUGUCCUAUUGCAUGCGGGUUAGACGCGUCCACGCCCCGCCCCACGAAAAAAGGCGUCGGCUGAUAUGGCCUCAGAUCUGGGGAAGGGCCCUCCUUGGGACUGAGCCAUACUAUGCAGCCACUUCUGCACAGUGGGAUAGGACCUCUACUCUCGCCUGUAUUGUUUUAAUAAAACAAAAAAGGG